This 301-nucleotide ribosomal RNA is filed under the name uncultured bacterium. RNAcentral's name for it is "partial 16S ribosomal RNA". It matches the Rfam family "Bacterial small subunit ribosomal RNA", at positions 509 to 807 of the family's 1533-position model. The record is from RNAcentral.
CAGUAGCCGCGGGAAUACGGAGGGUGCAAGCGUUAAUCGGAAUUACUGGGCGUAAAGCGCACGCAGGCGGUUUGUUAAGUCAGAUGUGAAAUCCCCGAGCUUAACUUGGGAACUGCAUUUGAAACUGGCAAGCUAGAGUCUUGUAGAGGGGGGUAGAAUUCCAGGUGUAGCGGUGAAAUGCGUAGAGAUCUGGAGGAAUACCGGUGGCGAAGGCGGCCCCCUGGACAAAGACUGACGCUCAGGUGCGAAAGCGUGGGGAGCAAACAGGAUUAGAUACCCCUGUAGUCCCUGUCUCUUAUAC